AACGGUCUAUACCUGCGGUACCUGCGGAAGGAUCAUUACCGAGUGAGGGCCCUCUGGGUCCAACCUCCCACCCGUGUUUAUUGAACCCUUGUUGCUUCGGCGGGCCCGCCGUAUGGCCGCCGGAGGGCAUCCGCCCCCGGCCCGCGCCCGCCGAAGACACCUGUGAACGCUGUCUGAAGUUGCAGUCUGAGACAACUAGCUAAAUUAGUUAAAACUUUCAACAACGGAUCUCUAGAUCGG
This 240-nucleotide unclassified non-coding RNA is filed under the name soil metagenome. RNAcentral's name for it is "partial contains 5.8S ribosomal RNA, internal transcribed spacer 2, and large subunit ribosomal RNA". The record is from RNAcentral.